CACACCGCCCGUCACACCAUGGGAGUCGAUUGCUCCAGAAGUCGGUGUGCCAACCGUAAGGAGGCAGCCGCCCAAGGAGUGGUCGGUGACUGGGGUGAAGUCGUAACAAGGUACCC
Molecule: ribosomal RNA, 116 nt
Filed under: uncultured bacterium
Lineage: Bacteria
Description: partial 16S ribosomal RNA
Rfam family: Bacterial small subunit ribosomal RNA
Source: RNAcentral